This 52-nucleotide small RNA is filed under the name Candidatus Rhodobacter oscarellae. RNAcentral's name for it is "Candidatus Rhodobacter lobularis ffh sRNA". It matches the Rfam family "ffh sRNA". Lineage: Bacteria; Pseudomonadati; Pseudomonadota; Alphaproteobacteria; Rhodobacterales. The record is from Rfam by way of RNAcentral.
ACGUCAGGGGAUCGCCCUCCACCAGCGUGUUACGCCCGUGGGGGCGAAAGUC